Molecule: ribosomal RNA, 339 nt
Filed under: uncultured bacterium
Lineage: Bacteria
Description: bacterial SSU rRNA
Rfam family: Bacterial small subunit ribosomal RNA
Source: RNAcentral
ACUCCUACGGGGAGGCAGCAGUGGGGAAUAUUGCACAAUGGGGGAAACCCUGAUGCAGCCAUGCCGCGUGUGUGAAGAAGGCCUUCGGUUGUAAAGCACUUUCAGUAGGGAGGAAGGUAGUGUAGUUAAUACCUGCAUUAUUUGACGUUUACCUACAGAAGAAGCACCGGCUAACUCCGUGCCAGCAGCCGCGGUAAUACGGAGGGUGCGAGCGUUAAUCGGAAUUACUGGGCGUAAAGCGCAUGCAGGCGGCCUGUUAAGUCAGAUGUGAAAGCCCGGGGCUAACCUCGGAAUUGCAUUUGAAACUGGCAGGCUAGAGUCUUGUAGAGGGGGUAGGAA